This 71-nucleotide transfer RNA is filed under the name Ictidomys tridecemlineatus (thirteen-lined ground squirrel). RNAcentral describes it as "Spermophilus tridecemlineatus (thirteen-lined ground squirrel) tRNA". It matches the Rfam family "tRNA". Rfam says of the family: Transfer RNA (tRNA) molecules are approximately 80 nucleotides in length. Lineage: Eukaryota; Metazoa; Chordata; Mammalia; Rodentia; Sciuridae. The record is from Rfam by way of RNAcentral.
GGGGAUGUGGCUCACCAGUAGAGCAUUUGCCUAGCACGCAUGAGACCUGGGUUUGAUUCCCCACAUCACAG